This 253-nucleotide ribosomal RNA is filed under the name uncultured bacterium. Its description in RNAcentral is "partial 16S ribosomal RNA". It matches the Rfam family "Bacterial small subunit ribosomal RNA", at positions 524 to 776 of the family's 1533-position model. The record is from RNAcentral.
UACGUAGGGAGCAAGCGUUGUCCGGAAUCAUUGGGCGUAAAGCGCGCGUAGGUGGCCACAUAAGUCCGUUGUGAAAGUCAAAGGCUCAACCUUUGAAAGCCGAUGGAUACUGUGUGGCUAGAGUACGGAAGAGGCGAGUGGAAUUCCUGGUGUAGCGGUGGAAUGCGCAGAUAUCAGGAGGAACACCAAUAGCGAAGGCAGCUCGCUGGGACGUUACUGACACUAAGGCGCGAAAGCGUGGGGAGCGAACAGG